Molecule: long non-coding RNA, 251 nt
Organism: Bubalus bubalis (water buffalo)
Lineage: Eukaryota; Metazoa; Chordata; Mammalia; Artiodactyla; Bovidae
Exons: 2
Source: RefSeq, a predicted model, not a curated record
AACAAGGACUCUGGCUUGUUCAUCUUCACAGCCCAGCGCCUGGCCCACACUGCAGUCACAACCUGUCUCAGUGACGAGACCCCCGCCACAGUCCCGGAACGGAAGCACAGGCAGAAAUGGAGCUGAGGCUGGGCCAUCUGUCCCUCUCUCCACUCCAGUCCUUCCGGAGACCAUCUCACCAGAUGAGGAAACAUGGAUGGCAGGUAAUGAGCAGAUAUGGCGACCGGAAUAAAUGAAAUAAGCUACCCCAA